CAGCCGCCGCGGUAAGACGAACCGUGCGAACGUUAUUCGGAAUUACUGGGCUUAAAGCGCGUGUAGGCGGGCCGCCACGUCGGUCGCUGAAAUCCCCCGGCUCAACCGGGGAAGUGGCAUCGAUACGAGCGGCCUUGAGGGGGGUAGGGGGAUCUGGAACUUCCGGUGGAGCGGUGAAAUGCGUUGAGAUCGGAAGGAACGCCCGUGGCGAAAGCGAGGUCCUGGACCCUUUCUGACGCUGAGACGCGAAAGCCAGGGGAGCGAACGGGAUUAGAUACCCGCGUAGUCCCUGUCUCUUAUU
Molecule: ribosomal RNA, 301 nt
Filed under: uncultured bacterium
Lineage: Bacteria
Description: partial 16S ribosomal RNA
Rfam family: Bacterial small subunit ribosomal RNA
Source: RNAcentral